AGCUCCAAUAGCGUAUAUUUAAGUUGCUGCAGUUAAAAAGCUCGUAGUUGGAUUUCGGGUGGGGCCUGCCGGUCCGCCGUUUCGGUGUGCACUGGCCGGGCCCACCUUGUUGCCGGGGACGGGCUCCUGGGCUUUAUUGUCCGGGACUCGGAGUCGGCGAGGUUACUUUGAGUAAAUUAGAGUGUUCAAAGCAGGCCACCGCUCUGAAUACAUUAGCAUGGAAUAACACGAUAGGACUCUGGCCUAUCUUGUUGGUCUGUAGGACCGGAGUAAUGAUUAAGAGGGACAGUCGGGGGCAUUCGUAUUUCAUUGUCAGAGGUGAAAUUCUUGGAUUUAUGAAAGACGAACUACUGCGAAAGCAUUUGCCAAGGAUGUUUUCAUUA
RNAcentral lists this ribosomal RNA (383 nucleotides) under uncultured Picochlorum. RNAcentral's name for it is "SSU rRNA". It matches the Rfam family "Eukaryotic small subunit ribosomal RNA", at positions 587 to 975 of the family's 1831-position model. The record is from RNAcentral. Lineage: Eukaryota; Viridiplantae; Chlorophyta; Trebouxiophyceae.